UAUAAAAUAGUAUUAUUUUGUGACAAUUUUAUUGUGAGUUGAAAACAGGGACGAAUCCAGAAAUUAAAAUUCAGGGAGGUUAAGAUUUAGAUUUGCUAGUAAAAAAAUUCGACUUAGGAUAGUAAAAAAAAAUAAAAUUUGUCAGAUUCACUGAUAACAAUAAUAUGCUUAAAGAGGAACAAGACUGUAAGAGUUGAAAGAAAAUGACCAAAAAACUUGAAAAAAAAUUAAGACAUAAAUUUUAUUAAAAUAAAAAAUUUGGC
RNAcentral lists this long non-coding RNA (263 nucleotides) under Ananas comosus (pineapple). RNAcentral describes it as "long non-coding RNA (ACOM_LNC014269)". The record is from RNAcentral. Lineage: Eukaryota; Viridiplantae; Streptophyta; Magnoliopsida; Poales; Bromeliaceae.